CAGUCGAACGAUGAUCCGGAGCUUGCUCCGGGGAUUAGUGGCGAACGGGUGAGUAACACGUGAGUAACCUGCCCUUGACUCUGGGAUAAGCGUUGGAAACGACGUCUAAUACCGGAUAUGAGCUGUGACGGCAUCGUCUGCAGUUGGAAAGAUUUUUUGGUCAAGGAUGGACUCGCGGCCUAUCAGGUAGUUGGUGAGGUAACGGCUCACCAAGCCGACGACGGGUAGCCGGCCUGAGAGGGUGACCGGCCACACUGGGACUGAGACACGGCCCAGACUCCUACGGGAGGCAGCAGUGGGGAAUAUUGCACAAUGGGCGAAAGCCUGAUGCAGCAACGCCGCGUGAGGGACGACGGCCUUCGGGUUGUAAACCUCUUUUAGUAGGGAAGAAGGGAGCUUGCUCUUGACGGUACCUGCAGAAAAAGCACCGGCUAACUACGUGCCAGCAGCCGCGGUAAUACGUAGGGUGCAAGCGUUGUCCGGAAUUAUUGGGCGUAAAGAGCUCGUAGGCGGUUUGUCGCGUCUGCUGUGAAAUCUGGGGGCUCAACCCCCAGCCUGCAGUGGGUACGGGCAGACUAGAGUGCGGUAGGGGAGAUUGGAAUUCCUGGUGUAGCGGUGGAAUGCGCAGAUAUCAGGAGGAACACCGAUGGCGAAGGCAGAUCUCUGGGCCGUAACUGACGCUGAGGAGCGAAAGCAUGGGGAGCGAACAGGAUUAGAUACCCUGGUAGUCCAUGCCGUAAACGUUGGGAACUAGAUGUAGGGGCCAUU
This 768-nucleotide ribosomal RNA is filed under the name Frondihabitans sp. ZD42. Its description in RNAcentral is "bacterial SSU rRNA". It matches the Rfam family "Bacterial small subunit ribosomal RNA", at positions 59 to 833 of the family's 1533-position model. Lineage: Bacteria; Bacillati; Actinomycetota; Actinomycetes; Micrococcales; Microbacteriaceae. The record is from RNAcentral.